GCAGCACAGCGCAGCGCUCCUGGAGAGGCUGUGGGUUCGUGGCAUCCGCGCCGCGGCCGCAAGUAUAGCAGGUUUCGUACCUGGUGUUCAUCGCCGUUAAGUCAUCGCUGCUGCCACCCAGGCACGGCUCUCUAUGCCGCCGCUCCCUCCACCCUCUAGGCACUGCCUGCCGUAAGAAUUUUAACUGCGACACUCGCUUCAGCAGGAGAUUUUAUUGGCUGCAGACACACGCAGCAUCUUCUUGCGCUCCUCCUUGAGGUGGAUGGGCAGCUAGCUGGAGAUGACACAGGAUGAUGCGCAUCUUUCGCACGCUGGCUCCAAGAUCUCCGCUGCCAGUGACUUCAACAGAAGUGGAGUAAAUAAAGAUGAUCACAGAACUUGGAAGCUGACGAAAUUAAUUUUGGAAAAGAGCUGGCUUGGAGCAUGACAGAAGAAUUCGAUGGAAAGAGUGCUGGGAGCCCAACUCAAGACUGAUGUGUGCUUGGCAGGCAGUCUACCCCCGAUCUCAGUCCUCCAGCCUUUCGGCCUUUUUUCCUUUUUGGAGACAGAAUUGCAUCAUAUGGCAUCCUACACAGUCCUGCCUCAGUCUCUGCAGUGCUGGGAUUGUAGGCCUAUGCCACCUAGCCUUUCUACAAUACAAACAAAUAUGAAAAGAAGAGGGACUUCUUUGGAAAGGAGUACAGGGACUAUGGAAGAGAUGAAAAGAUAAUAUUGUCAGAAAUUAUGCCGCUUUUGAAGAGAUAAACUGAACUCUUGAUUCUGUGAGGUUAUUAAAGAAUAUUAAUUUUCAAAUCACGGUAAAAUCUUGGUAAGUGACUCAGUGACUCUACUUGGCUUGCUCAGUUAAUGAGAGCAGACCAGAAAGGAGGUCUUAACUAAGCAUCAAACAAUUACUCCACAGUUACCCGUUGUCUGGAAACACAUUGAAAUAGCUUACCCUCCCUUUCCUCAUGUUAGACAUUUAUAGAUGGGGAAAUUGGAAAUUGUCUAGUGGAAGAUAGAUUUGAUUCAAUCUAGAAAUGGUGGUGUAUUCUCUGCUAAAAGAUUUUUAUUAAAGAUUUUGUGUGUGUGUGUGUGUCUGUAUUAGGAUCUCAAUAUGUAGUGCAGGCUGGUCUAAGACAUAGCAGUCCUUCUGCCUCAGUCUCCCUAUCCCUGGUAAAAGCCUGAGCUACCACUCUUGGAGUAUAACAGAUUCCAAGAUCAUACUUUUUCUGAUGAUGGUACUUAAAAUAUUAUUUGUUACAUAACAAAUCAUCUGGGAUGCUUGUUCAACAUACAGAUUGCUGGGAAGUUGGAAUUUUGUCAUUUGUGGAAUCUGUCCCUUACUUAUACUGAGGUUUUCUGCUUAGAUUCAGCAACACAUGAGGAUAAUCAUUGUGUCCAUGGAAACCUUGGGAAGCAGUUGAAAGCCUGGGUAAGGUGUCAAUACUUUUGGGUGAGGUUUCUCAUUUUGAAACAAAAGGAAAGUGGUUCCAUGUGGCAUUUCCAUCCUUCUUCAAUAGAUAGUAUGUGCUUACCUGAGAUUAUUUUAGGUGUUAAGAAAGCCCUGCCCAUGGGGCUGGAGAGAUGGCUCAGCGGUUAAGACCACUGGCUGUUCUUUCAGAAGUCCUCAGUUCAAUUCCCAGCAACCUCAUAGUAGCUCACAACCAUCUGUAAGGGAUCUGAUGUCAUCUUCUGGCACACAAGUAUACAUGCAGACAGAGUACUCAUAUACAUUAAAUAAAUAAAUAAGUCUUAAAAAAAA
RNAcentral lists this long non-coding RNA (1744 nucleotides) under Mus musculus (house mouse). RNAcentral describes it as "Ftx transcript, Xist regulator, non-protein coding". The record is from RNAcentral. Lineage: Eukaryota; Metazoa; Chordata; Mammalia; Rodentia; Muridae.